Molecule: ribosomal RNA, 542 nt
Filed under: uncultured marine picoplankton
Lineage: Eukaryota
Description: SSU rRNA
Rfam family: Eukaryotic small subunit ribosomal RNA
Source: RNAcentral
UAUAUUAAAGUUGUUGCAGUUAAAAAGCUCGUAGUUGGAUUUCAGUCUUAAUUCGUCUGGCCCGCUCCCUUGAGGAGCCGAGUGCCGGUUGCGAAUUGGACUUCCUUCUAGCAUGAAUCUCCUACCGUUAUGCGGCCGGGAAGGACAUCUGGAUCAUUUACUUUGAAGAAAUUAGAGUGUUCAAAGCAAGCUUACGCUGUGAAUAUAUUAGCAUGGAAUAAUAACAUAGGACUCGGGUUCUAUUUUGUUGGUUUCUAGGACUCAAGUAAUGAUUGAUAGGGACAGUUGGGGGUGCUGCUAUUAUAUGGCCAGAGGUGAAAUUCACGGAUUCAUAUAAGAGCAACUUAUGCGAAAGCAUUCACCAAGGAUGUCUUCUUUAAUCAAGAACGAAAGUUGGGGGAUCGAAGACGAUCAGAUACCGUCGUAGUCUCAACCAUAAACUAUGCCGACUAGGGAUUGGUGGACGUUGAAUUUCCGACUCCAUCAGCACCUCAUGAGAAAUCAAAGUCUUUGGGUUCCGGAGGGAGUAUGGUCGCAAGGCU